GUCCAGAUAGUUUAUAAAAAAAUAUCAGGUAGUGGCCCUGAAGAAAUUAAUCUAGACA
This 58-nucleotide transfer RNA is filed under the name Portunion sinensis. Its description in RNAcentral is "tRNA-His". The record is from RNAcentral. Lineage: Eukaryota; Metazoa; Arthropoda; Malacostraca; Isopoda; Entoniscidae. RNAcentral also lists the same sequence under 1 other name.